This 842-nucleotide ribosomal RNA is filed under the name uncultured Sphingobacteriales bacterium. RNAcentral describes it as "bacterial SSU rRNA". It matches the Rfam family "Bacterial small subunit ribosomal RNA", at positions 60 to 894 of the family's 1533-position model. The record is from RNAcentral. Lineage: Bacteria; Pseudomonadati; Bacteroidota; Sphingobacteriia; Sphingobacteriales.
AGUCGUGGGGCAGCAUGACUGUAGCAAUACAGUUGAUGGCGACCGGCAAACGGGUGCGGAACACGUACACAACCUUCCUUUAAGUGGGGAAUAGCCCAGGGAAACUUGGAUUAAUACCCCGUAAUAUAUAGAAGUGGCAUCACUUUUAUAUUAUAGCAGCAAUGCGCUUGAAGAUGGGUGUGCGGCUGAUUAGAUAGUUGGCGGGGUAACGGCCCACCAAGUCGACGAUCAGUAACUGGUGUGAGAGCACGACCAGUCACACGGGCACUGAGACACGGGCCCGACUCCUACGGGAGGCAGCAGUAAGGAAUAUUGGUCAAUGGACGCAAGUCUGAACCAGCCAUGCCGCGUGGAGGAUGAAGGUCCUCUGGAUUGUAAACUUCUUUUAUCUGGGAAGAAAUCCAUUUUUUCUAAAAUGGUUGACGGUACCAGAUGAAUAAGCACCGGCUAACUCCGUGCCAGCAGCCGCGGUAAUACGGAGGGUGCAAGCGUUAUCCGGAUUCACUGGGUUUAAAGGGUGCGUAGGUGGGCAAGUAAGUCAGUGGUGAAAUCUCCGGGCUUAACCCGGAAACUGCCAUUGAUACUAUUUGUCUUGAAUACUGUGGAGGUCAGCGGAAUAUGUCAUGUAGCGGUGAAAUGCUUAGAUAUGACAUAGAACACCAAUUGCGAAGGCAGCUGGCUACACAAAUAUUGACACUGAGGCACGAAAGCGUGGGGAUCAAACAGGAUUAGAUACCCUGGUAGUCCACGCCCUAAACUAUGGAUACUCGACAUUUGCGAUAAACUGCAAGUGUCUGAGCGAAAGCAUUAAGUAUCCCACCUGGGAAGUACGAUCGCAAGAU